GAGGCAGCAGUGGGGGAAUAUUGCACAAUGGGCGCAAGCCUGAUGCAGCCAUGCCGCGUGUAUGAAGAAGGCCUUCGGGUUGUAAAGUACUUUCAGCAGUGAGGAAGGGUGUGAAGUUAAUAGCUUCAUAUCUUGACGUUAGCUGCAGAAGAAGCACCGGCUAACUCCGUGCCAGCAGCCGCGGUAAUACGGAGGGUGCGAGCGUUAAUCGGAAUUACUGGGCGUAAAGCGCAUGCAGGUGGUUUGUUAAGUCAGAUGUGAAAGCCCGGGGCUCAACCUCGGAACCGCAUUUGAAACUGGCAGGCUAGAGUACUGUAGAGGGGGGUAGAAUUUCAGGUGUAGCGGUGAAAUGCGUAGAGAUCUGAAGGAAUACCAGUGGCGAAGGCGGCCCCCUGGACAGAUACUGACACUCAGAUGCGAAAGCGUGGGGAGCAAACAGGAUUAGAUACCCUGGUAGUCCACGCCGUAAACGAUGUCUACUUGGAGGUUGUGGCCUUGAGCCGUGGCUUUCGGAGCUAACGCGUUAAGUAGACCGCCUGGGGAGUACGGUCGCAAGAUUAAAACUCAAAUGAAUUGACGGGGGCCCGCACAAGCGGUGGAGCAUGUGGUUUAAUUCGAUGCAACGCGAAGAACCUUACCUACUCUUGACAUCCAGAGAACUUAGCAGAGAU
Molecule: ribosomal RNA, 671 nt
Filed under: Vibrio sp.
Lineage: Bacteria; Pseudomonadati; Pseudomonadota; Gammaproteobacteria; Vibrionales; Vibrionaceae
Description: bacterial SSU rRNA
Rfam family: Bacterial small subunit ribosomal RNA
Source: RNAcentral